RNAcentral lists this transfer RNA (60 nucleotides) under Dipodomys ordii (Ord's kangaroo rat). It matches the Rfam family "tRNA", at positions 5 to 66 of the family's 71-position model. From Rfam's summary of the family: Transfer RNA (tRNA) molecules are approximately 80 nucleotides in length. Their secondary structure includes four short double-helical elements and three loops (D, anti-codon, and T loops). The record is from Rfam by way of RNAcentral. Lineage: Eukaryota; Metazoa; Chordata; Mammalia; Rodentia; Heteromyidae.
AUGUGACUUAGUGGUAGAGUGCUUGCCUAGCAUGCAAGAAGCCCUGGUUCAAUUCCACAU